This 728-nucleotide long non-coding RNA is filed under the name Ananas comosus (pineapple). RNAcentral's name for it is "long non-coding RNA (ACOM_LNC037545)". Lineage: Eukaryota; Viridiplantae; Streptophyta; Magnoliopsida; Poales; Bromeliaceae. The record is from RNAcentral.
AGCUUGUGCGAAUGAUGCUAAUAUGAAUGAAUGAGAUGCACCCGUAUCGAAUAUAGCUCUAGCCCUAGUGCCUCUGAUCAGAAUAAUACCUGCCACGACGUCGUCGGGAACGAUGAUUGGUGGCUCCUCCACCUGAGUGGCAAAAACCCGCCCACUAGGUGCUCGAGAAGCCUCCGGCUGACGUGACGCCGUCGGUCGUCCAGCAGAUGUUGCGGGUGGCAGUCCCGCCAACUGUCGCUGCGUGUACUGUACUGAGGCUGAUGACGGAGCUGGGGAUACGCCGCCCGGGCACUCUCGACUCAUGUGCCCCGGUUGGCCACAUUGAUAACACCGCCCCCCCCGCUGUGGGCAGCUGGUGGCUCUAUGCUACCCGCCGCAUAUCACACACGGGUAGUUAAUCUGACCCCGUGUCUGACUCCUACCUCCCCGCCAUUGUGAUCGUUGUGGUCGCGGGGGUCGCUUAGAACUCGAUUGCCCCGCCGAUCCACCAGCAGGUCGCUUCUUAGUCUUAUCCCUUUCCUUAUCCUUCUCAAAUGCCUCGCGUUCGUCCCGCGCAAUGGCAUUCCCGCGCUCCACCCAAAGCGCGCGGUCAAGAACCUCCUCAUAGGUCUUCAAGCGGAAUGCAUGAAUGACCUUGAAAAUCUCGGGUCGCAACCCGCGCUCAAAUACCUCCGCUCGGUCCCUAUCGCCAUGAACCAAGUUCGGUACGCAGUUGAUCAUAUGCGUGA